Molecule: ribosomal RNA, 123 nt
Filed under: Propithecus coquereli (Coquerel's sifaka)
Lineage: Eukaryota; Metazoa; Chordata; Mammalia; Primates; Indriidae
Source: RNAcentral
GUCUAUGGCCAUACCACCCUGAACACACCCAAUCUCGUCCAAUCUCGGAAGCUAAGCAGGGUCAGGCCUGGUUAGUUAGUACUUGGAUGGGAAAUCUUCUUUCAAUAAUUCGAAUUGUUGAUU